AACGCACAUUGCGCCCUCCUUCGUCUGGGAGGCAUGCCUGUCCGAGCGUCGUUUCAACCCUCGAGCCCCCGUGGCCCGGCGUUGGGGAUCUGCCCAGGCAGGCCCCUAAAACCAGUGGCGGACCCGUUACAGGCCCUUCCUUUGCGUAGUAGCAUCAGCCUCGCAUCGGGAGCCAGCGGGCUUCUGGCCUCUAAACCCCCAUCAAGUCCGCUCCGGCGGCACCAAGGUUGACCUCGGAUCAGGUAGGAAUACCCGCUGAACUUAA
Molecule: unclassified non-coding RNA, 265 nt
Filed under: uncultured fungus
Lineage: Eukaryota; Fungi
Description: partial contains 5.8S ribosomal RNA, internal transcribed spacer 2, and large subunit ribosomal RNA
Source: RNAcentral